This 3091-nucleotide long non-coding RNA is filed under the name Olea europaea (common olive). RNAcentral's name for it is "long non-coding RNA (OEUR_LNC011448)". The record is from RNAcentral. Lineage: Eukaryota; Viridiplantae; Streptophyta; Magnoliopsida; Lamiales; Oleaceae.
UUUUAGGUUACAAGUUGAUUUUGUUUGUAGUUACCACCCUUCAAAUAGUUGCGUUGAUAUUGAAUACUUAGGUUACUUUACAUUGUAUUAUCAUGUAUUCAUUAGCUAAACAAGCCACAAUUGGGAAAACGUAAAUUUUUUGGUAUUCAUAAGUUUCCAUAUGAGUUGAUCAGGAUCCUUGAAUUCUUUAUCGUGCCUCCAUUGAGUUCAAUGCUAAAUUUUCAGAAAAAUAAAAGAACUAUAUUCAUAUCAGCCAAGUUAGAAUGUAGCAUAGUAUAUUUGUUGGGUCACACCAAUUUGAUAGAGAGUGAUUGACAGAUGGAGACAUAAUGUGAUUUGGCAAGAUGUGAUUGAAUGAAAAAAUUGAUUGUAUUUAAAACAAUUCAAAAAUGAAGUGUCAUGUGACAUUAUGCCAAUAAUUACGUCAAUAUGGCAUUACUCCUCGUAACUCGUAUUAAAGCUUCUUUAAAGCUUUUAAAUUCUUUUUUUUCACACCACUCAUUUCAUUGCUAGAUUAAUAGAAUGAUCCAAAAUAAUUAGAUUCUUAAUAGGUGAGCAUCCACAUUAUGCUAUAUUAGUUGGUCUAUUAUUUCCUCGUGGCGCAUUUAAAGUUCCUUGAUGUGUCUCUUAAAACUUGUUGAAAUAUGACUGCCGACAUACCAUUCAAGACUAAAUUUCAAUGUUAUAAUCUCUUGUUCUAGUGCCCCCUUAAAAUCCAUUUGAUCAGGGGUGGAUAUACAGAAUGGUCCAAAAUAGUUAGAUUCUUAAUAGAUGAGCACCCACAUUAUACUAUAUUAGUUUGGUCUAUUAUUUCCUCGUGACGCAUUUAAAGCUCCUUGAUGUAUCUGUUAAAACUUGUUGAUAUAUGAUUGCCGACAUACUAUUCAAGACAAAAUUUCAAUGUCACAAUUUCUUGUUCUAGUGCCCCUUUAAAACCCAUUUGAAUCAGGGGCGGAUUUAUGGAGGGUUACCUGCCCCCAUAAUAAAUUUGAAAUUCAAUAUAUUGCCCAAAUUUUUCACAGCAUACCAUAAAGGUCAUGGCAUAUCAGUAGCUGUACUGUGAAUAAUUGUAUUAUAAAAUGAUAGAUUGGGUACUAACAUCAAUAGGUAUAAUCUAUAAACAUGGCAGCAAAUCUUUAAAUAAGAAAAAGAAAUCAUAAUUGCAAAAACAGACAUGUAAAUUUUAUUUGCAACUUGACUUAUAAUUUUAUUUAUACAUCCUUGCACUUGGAUCAGUCAUGAAGUAGAAGAAAGUUGUAAAGACAUCUGACUUAUAUGGAAUUAUCCAUGGUUAAAAUUUCUCUUGCUUUAAUCUUGUUUAUUGUUUGUUUAUAUAAUACCUCCUUGUUGAUGUUUGAAAUACAGAUCUUAAUUUUUCCGUUGAAAUUCCACUGCUUUUGUAGGAUGCUAAUUGCUACUGCAAAUGAUAUCUCAAAUGAAACUUUUGACAUUAAAUGUUAUCCAAAAUUAUUUUUCAAGACAGAAAGUGGAAAUAUUUUGCUGUAUGAAGGAGAUAGAAUGAAGGAAGAACCAGAAUCAAGAAAAGAGAAGCUGUAAUUUAGGUAACUAAAUUUCAAAUACGAAUCAUUUGUUUAGGCAUUCUGGUGCGGGAAAGGAGCUUUUGGUUUUAAUUCUUGUCACGUUUUAUAAAUAUUGGUUCUCUUCUUUUUGCAGAUGGAGCAUCAUUAUCUUUGGCAAGUCAUUUCGUGAAAACAAUCGAGGAUGAUUUUAGCAUCUCGAGAAACCGGGAAAGAAAUCCUUCAUUGAUGAGAAUCUUCUCCUCCUCAAAACCUCCCAACCCCUCUCCUUUCUCCCUUGUGGCAUUUUCCGAUACCUAGAAUUAGAUAUUAAAAUAAAAGCAAGAAUCUCGUUUGGGAUACAAAUGCUAGUAUUAUUCAGGCGAACAUUCUUGACUAUUUUGUGCUCCUUAGCCCAACAUAUCAUUUUCUCCCUACAAAUUGUAUAUGGGCAAUUAUACCUUUCAGUAAGGAUUGAUGCCAAUAGCUGAAAUCUUGUAUAUGGGCAAUUAUACGGAUUGAUGCCAAUAGCUGAAAUCUUGGUAAUUGGUAUUACUAAAGUGAAGUUAUAUGUGGGUUUGUUUCAUCUUUCGUGCAUGAAUUAUGCGCACUUCAAUAUUCGAAGUUACACUGCACGUAUAUGCUAGCAAAACAUUUCGCAAGUAAUACUGUCAUUCUAUUACUGUUAAAUUAGAGCGAGUACGAAUUCAGGACAUGGAAAAAAUAAUAUUAGGACACAGGCAAUUCUUGAAUUCUGGUUCUUCUGUCUGAAUCCUCAGGCGAUGAAGCCUUCCUCUUGUUAGUAUUGUUGUUGUGAUCACUAUCUAUUAUGGUGUCAUGAAUGUUAGUUGUAUUAAGGAGGUGGGAAUGAAGUUUCCUCAUAUCUGCUAAUUUGACAGGUUUCAACAGGAAUUCUUCUGCUCCUCCUUCCAAGCACCUGCUUCAUUACAAUCGAAUGCAUUGAUGUAUCAGCAAAAUCAAUGCAUAGUGAAUAAUCAAGAGAAAGCUAGUAAAAGACAAGUUUUAGGUUACAAGUUGAUUUUGUUUGUAGUUACCACCCUUCAAAUAGUUGCGUUGAUAUUGAAUACUUAGGUUACUUUACAUUGUAUUAUCAUGUAUUCAUUAGCUAAACAAGCCACAAUUGGGAAAACGUAAAUUUUUUGGUAUUCAUAAGUUUCCAUAUGAGUUGAUCAGGAUCCUUGAAUUCUUUAUCGUGCCUCCAUUGAGUUCAAUGCUAAAUUUCCAGAAAUAUAAAAGACAACUAGAUUCAUAGCAGCCAAGUUAGAAUGUAGCAUGGUAUAUUUGUUGGGUCACACCACUUUGAUAUAAAGUGAUUGACAGAUGGAGACAUAAUGUGAUUUGGCAAGAUGUGAUUGAAUGAAAAAAUUGAUUGUAUUUAAAACAAUUCAAAAAUGAAGUGUCAUGUGACAUUAUGCCAAUAAUUACGUCAAUAUGGCAUUACUCCUCGUAACUCGUAUUAAAGCUUCUUUAAAGCUUUUAAAUUCUUUUUUUUCACACCACUCAUUUCAUUGCUAGAUUUAUAGAAUGAUCCAAAAUAAUUAGAUUCUUAAUAG